RNAcentral lists this long non-coding RNA (381 nucleotides) under Hordeum vulgare. Its description in RNAcentral is "long non-coding RNA (HVUL_LNC021048)". Lineage: Eukaryota; Viridiplantae; Streptophyta; Magnoliopsida; Poales; Poaceae. The record is from RNAcentral.
CAGUCCCCCUUCUUGACCACAUGUCAAUAAAAACACAUCUUCUCCCUUGGUGGUUUUGGUAGUUCAUGUUAACAUACAUUGUGUUGGACUAAUGUUUUUCUCAAGUAUAUUUCAUGAAAAGUUCAACUUAGGCAAGUGAAUGGAUGGAGUUAUGGACCCCUCAAGCUACUAAGGAACCAUGUUGGCAAAACUUCAAGACUCUACAUUUUUGGUUUAGUGGUCCAAGGUCACAUUGAGUCCAUAGGAAAGUCAAUACUAUUAAAAGGGGAUGAGGUCUUGAUCAUGAGUCAUUUCCUCAAGUGCUUGAAGAUAUUGCUCCAAAACCCUCAACCACACCCUCCAAAUCAUAUCUGUCCAAAAUCUUAAAUCCUAUCUCAGUCC